Acomys russatus (golden spiny mouse) is the source of this 144-nucleotide small nucleolar RNA. RefSeq annotates it as small nucleolar RNA SNORA48. The record is from RefSeq and is a predicted model, not a curated record. The transcript has a single exon. NCBI's taxonomy places the organism in Eukaryota, Metazoa, Chordata, Mammalia, Rodentia, Muridae.
CACCCCUGGCAAUGGGCAAAGAGACAUCUUGUUAGUGAUGUUUGUUCUUACAUCAGUUGGGGUAGAGCAGAUGGUAAUCCUUUGUUCAUCCUAGCUUGAUGCCUGGCUUGGUGGCCAAAGCUGUCUUAUGCCUAAGGCUCACAA